AGUGAACGCUGGCGGCGUGCUUAACACAUGCAAGUCGAACGGAUGAAAUAAGCUUGCUUAUUUCGUUAGUGGCGCACGGGUGAGUAAUGUAUAGCUAAGCUGCCCUUUAGGGGGGGACAAAAGUUGGAAACGACUGCUAAUAACCAAUACUCAUUCUUACCACCAGGUAUGUUGGGAAAGAUUGAUUGCUAAAGGAUGGGGCUUUAUGGUAUCAGCUAGUUGGUGGGGUAACGGCCUACCAAGGCUAUGACGCCUACCUGGUCUGAGAGGAUGAUCAGGCACACUGGAACUGAGACACGGUCCAGACUCCUACGGGAGGCAGCAGUGGGGAAUAUUGCACAAUGGAGGAAACUCUGAUGCAGCAACGCCGCGUGGAGGAUGACGCAUUUCGGUGUGUAAACUCCUGUUAUAAGGGAAGAUAAUGACGGUACCUUAUGAAUAAGCACCGGCUAACUCCGUGCCAGCCGCCGCGGUAA
RNAcentral lists this ribosomal RNA (476 nucleotides) under uncultured bacterium. RNAcentral describes it as "partial 16S ribosomal RNA". It matches the Rfam family "Bacterial small subunit ribosomal RNA", at positions 29 to 523 of the family's 1533-position model. The record is from RNAcentral.